CACAGGGAUAACUGGCUUG
RNAcentral lists this non-coding RNA (19 nucleotides) under Arabidopsis thaliana (thale cress). RNAcentral also lists the same sequence under 1 other name. The record is from RNAcentral. Lineage: Eukaryota; Viridiplantae; Streptophyta; Magnoliopsida; Brassicales; Brassicaceae.